Molecule: long non-coding RNA, 837 nt
Filed under: Marmota monax (woodchuck)
Lineage: Eukaryota; Metazoa; Chordata; Mammalia; Rodentia; Sciuridae
Source: RNAcentral
UGGAGCCCCAGGUGGGUGGAGGUCUGCGCAGUUGGAACCUCUGUUUAGUGGAGCUUACCCAACUCACCAGGGCUCUCUCCUCUGUGCUUUUUGAGGAUGAGAGAACCAAGCCGAAUGUCUUUUACGAAAAGCCCCAAUCAGCCGGGCGCUGUGGCACACACCUGAAAUCCCAGUGGCUCUGGAGGCUGAGGCAGGAGGAUUGUGAGUUCAAAGCCAGCCUCAGCAACAUAGCAAGGUCUAAGUUACUUAGUGAGACUCUUGUCUCUAAAUAAAAUAUAAAAAUGGGUGGGGAUAUGACUCAGUGGUUAAGUAUCCCUGGGUUUAAUCCCGGUAUCAAAAAAGAAAACAAAAAGGAAAAGAAAAGCCUCAGCCAACUUAAGUGUCCUUCAAACAGACGGAUGGAUAAAGAAAGCCUUGUGUAUGUGCACAAUGGUGUACUACUGAACCAUAAAGAAGAAUGAAUUUAUGACAUGAGCCAGCAAAUGGCUGGAUCUGGUGACGAUCAUGCUAAGUGAACCAAGUCAAUCCCCAUAAACCAAAGGUCAAAAGUUUCCUCUGCUAUGUGGAAGCUAACCCACAGCAAAGCACCAGGGGAUUAAGAAAGAAGUUCAGGGGUGUAGACAAAGGGGAAUGAAGGGAAGGCAACAAAAGGGAUCGGACCUAACUUGCCUAUGUACAUACAUGAAUACACACAGUGAAUCCCACCAUCAGGUACACCCAUAGGGAAUCAAUCAAAGAAAUAGGUAUGGGUAAAUGACAGAAAGUUCAGCAGAGGGAAGGGAGUAGUGGUGGGGGGAGGUUAGGAGAAGUACUGGGGACUGAAUUAGAACAAGAUAC